Molecule: transfer RNA, 53 nt
Filed under: Panonychus citri (citrus red mite)
Lineage: Eukaryota; Metazoa; Arthropoda; Arachnida; Trombidiformes; Tetranychidae
Description: tRNA-Asp
Source: RNAcentral
AAGAUAAAUUAAUAAAUUGUCAAUUUAUUUUAUUAUAAAUUUAUAUUAUCUUA